UCCCUGGUGGUUCAGUGGUUAGGACUCUGCACAUUCACUGCUGAGAAUGUGGGUUCAAAUCCUGGUCAGGAAA
RNAcentral lists this transfer RNA (73 nucleotides) under Bos taurus (domestic cattle). It matches the Rfam family "tRNA". From Rfam's summary of the family: Transfer RNA (tRNA) molecules are approximately 80 nucleotides in length. Their secondary structure includes four short double-helical elements and three loops (D, anti-codon, and T loops). RNAcentral also lists the same sequence under 3 other names. Lineage: Eukaryota; Metazoa; Chordata; Mammalia; Artiodactyla; Bovidae. The record is from Rfam by way of RNAcentral.